RNAcentral lists this ribosomal RNA (247 nucleotides) under uncultured Prevotellaceae bacterium. RNAcentral describes it as "partial 16S ribosomal RNA". It matches the Rfam family "Bacterial small subunit ribosomal RNA", at positions 92 to 339 of the family's 1533-position model. The record is from RNAcentral. Lineage: Bacteria; Pseudomonadati; Bacteroidota; Bacteroidia; Bacteroidales; Prevotellaceae.
CGACCGGCGCACGGGUGAGUAACGCGUAUCCAACCUGCCCCACACUAAGGGAUAACCCGCAGAAAUGUGGACUAAUACCUUAUAUUUUCCACCAAGGGCAUCGUCGAUGGAACAAAGAUUUAUCGGUAUGGGAUGGGGAUGCGUCCGAUUAGGUUGUUGGCGGGGUAACGGCCCACCAAGCCUUCGAUCGGUAGGGGUUCUGAGAGGAAGGUCCCCCACAUAGGAACUGAGACACGGUCCUAACUCC